UCAGCUGUGCCAGUUCAGACUCGAAUAAGUUAAAUUAACAAUUUGUGCGCAUUUUCCUUAAUUAUUGGGCACCUGAGGCAUAAUGCCGUGCUUUAUGUGCACCCAUAAUGUGAAUAACGCCAUCAGCAAUAUCAAAUUCGAUUCCGUCGAAGCUGACUCGCUCGGCUUAAAGCAAAUAAUUGAAAAACACUUUUGGUUUCGGUUGACUGAUUCAGUCAGUGGCUACGUGUGCGGAUCAUGCUGGGAACAACUGUUGCUGUUUCACAACUUCUAUUUAACCGUGGAGAAUGCCCACAAAGCCCUCGCCGCACUGGCAACAAAGCAGCCCGAGGAGACCGAAGAGAACAGCACUCCAACAGCCGUGGUUGCCGCCGUUUAUGGCGGCGCUGUAAAGGAUGAGAACGAGGAAAGCGUGGCAGCUGCCGUGAAGCGCAGGCGUGGGCGUCCACGCAAAACGCCUGCCGCUGCCAAUGACGAAGAAUUUCAGAACGUGCUGGAGCAGAUCAAUUUAAAUGAGAUUAAAAUUGAGUAUCCCGAGGCAGAUUUGACCAUCGCAGAUGUGCUGGAGGAUCAGGAGGAGCAAGACUUUGAGUCACACAGUGACUGCGCAACGGAAGAAGACGAGGACCAACUGGAGAAACCCACACCGACUAUCACUCGCAAGGCUCGUGGACAAGCCCGCGGGCGUAGCCGUGUGCGGCUCGUAGAGAAGCCAAAAAAAGCCCCCGUGUACAAUCAGCAAAAGUCGAGCGAGUUCAAUGAGUACAUCAAGCAGCACUACAAGAUGCAGUGUCCCGUGUGCAAUGCCCCCAUGGAGGGUUUCUCGGAUAUGCUCGUACAUGUGCGACGGGAGCAUCAUCAGCGCGGCUACGCCGUCUGCUGCAAUCGAAAGUUUAGGAAGCGCGGCGUACUGGUUGACCAUCUGCGCCGCCACGAGGAUCCCGACCUCUUCAAGUGCACAAUCUGCGAUCGUGUAAUGGGCCAGCGGCGCAGCCUUGAACUCCACAUGCGAAUGCACAACGCCAAGUCGCAGGGGCGGCUCUACCAGUGCGAUCAUUGCUCGAAGAGUUUCUACAGCGCCGUCGUCUGUGAACGCCACAAACUAACGCACAUUCCUAAGGAGCAGUGCCAGGUGAAGUGUACCAACUGCGACAAGACCUUCCCCACCCAAUACACCAUGCAGCAGCAUUUCAAGCUCGUGCACUUGAACUUAUAUGCCAAGAUCUGCGACGUUUGCGGCAAGUCGAUACGCGGACGGGAAGCACUCGCCCGCCACAUGAAGGAGCACACGGGCGCACCGCAGGCCACCAUCGAGUGCCAUUUGUGCGACUCCAAAUUGACCACCAAAUACGGCCUGGCGCGUCACAUCAAAAUGAUGCACACUCUCGAGAAUCUACAGCCGAUGCAGUGCGAGCUUUGCCUCAAGGUUUCACCCAGCCUGCAGGCGUAUCAGCAUCACCUGAAGUACACCCACAACACGGCACGCAAUCAUCAGUGUCCGAUGUGCGAGAAGGCCUUUAAGCGGCCCAACGAAUUGCGGGAACACUUGACAACGCACACGGGCGAGGUGCUGUACACCUGUCCCCACUGCACGCAAACCUUCAACUCGAAUGCCAACAUGCAUGCCCAUCGCAAGAAGGUGCAUCGAAAGGAGUGGGAGGAGUACCGCCGGCAGCGCUUGGUGCGGGGACGCAAAAAGGAUUCAAUUAUUGCAGCCAGCGUGCGCAAGACCACCGCGGGCAGAGAGGACGGCAGUGCAGAGCCACAAUCCACUGCUGUCGAGGCUCUAGCUAGUCCUCCUGCAGCGGAGGAGUGCUAACAAAGUGGCGCAUAAUAAAGCGAAAAGUAAAUUCUGUUCAAAGAACUGCGAGAAUCAAUGUGUAAAGUGGGGGCUGGACGACUGUAACCGGCUGUAACUGGUUCGCGGAUUGCACCCUGAUCAUCUCGAACUGGUAUAACGGACAUCGAUGCUGCCUUAUCAGCGAUUAAGGUCGAGUCUGCAUCUCAGAGAUCAUCCUGUUUACCGAUGGAAUAUUUUUCGAUUUGUCAAAGAUUUCUAAAAGUACCCAAGAUCUUUGAACCUUUUGUAGGUGUUUCCCCACAAAAUGUUGCUAUUUGCAAGCCUGGGAAAUCACUUCAAGUGGUUCCCAGACCAGACAAUAUAAUGGGAAUCACAAAGUGAACGACCAAACUUCCUUCUAUCGCAUCCCAGAUCCCUUUUGCCAGUAUCCUCUGUACUUACUUGACGAAUUAUAGACGUAUUUUCAUUUGCACAAAGAGA
Drosophila guanche is the source of this 2281-nucleotide RNA transcript. It is a transcript of the gene named transcription factor grauzone, with no coding region annotated. The record is from RefSeq and is a predicted model, not a curated record. NCBI's taxonomy places the organism in Eukaryota, Metazoa, Arthropoda, Insecta, Diptera, Drosophilidae. The transcript has 5 exons.